Molecule: ribosomal RNA, 314 nt
Filed under: uncultured Actinomycetes bacterium
Lineage: Bacteria; Bacillati; Actinomycetota; Actinomycetes
Description: bacterial SSU rRNA
Rfam family: Bacterial small subunit ribosomal RNA
Source: RNAcentral
AAAAGGUGGUGCAUGGUUGUCGUCAGCUCGUGUCGUGAGAUGUUGGGUUAAGUCCCGCAACGAGCGCAACCCUCGUUCUAUGUUGCCAGCACGUAAUGGUGGGAACUCAUGGGAUACUGCCGGGGUCAACUCGGAGGAAGGUGGGGAUGACGUCAAAUCAUCAUGCCCCUUAUGUCUUGGGCUUCACGCAUGCUACAAUGGCCGGUACAAAGGGCUGCAAUACCGUGAGGUGGAGCGAAUCCCAAAAAGCCGGUCCCAGUUCGGAUUGAGGUCUGCAACUCGACCUCAUGAAGUCGGAGUCGCUAGUAAUCGCA